UACGUAGGGUGCGAGCGUUAAUCGGAAUUACUGGGCGUAAAGCGUGCGCAGGCGGCUUUGCAAGACAGAUGUGAAAUCCCCGGGCUCAACCUGGGAACUGCAUUUGUGACUGCAAGGCUAGAGUACGGCAGAGGGGGAUGGAAUUCCGCGUGUAGCAGUGAAAUGCGUAGAGAUGUGGAGGAAUACCGAUGGCGAAGGCAGCCCCCUGGGCCUGUACUGACGCUCAUGCACGAAAGCGUGGGGAGCAAACAGG
This 253-nucleotide ribosomal RNA is filed under the name uncultured bacterium. RNAcentral describes it as "partial 16S ribosomal RNA". It matches the Rfam family "Bacterial small subunit ribosomal RNA", at positions 524 to 776 of the family's 1533-position model. The record is from RNAcentral.